This 453-nucleotide ribosomal RNA is filed under the name uncultured marine bacterium. RNAcentral describes it as "bacterial SSU rRNA". It matches the Rfam family "Bacterial small subunit ribosomal RNA", at positions 360 to 804 of the family's 1533-position model. The record is from RNAcentral.
AAUAUUGCGCAAUGGGGGAAACCCUGACGCAGCAAUGCCACGUGAGUGAGGAAUGCCUUCGGGUUGUAAAGCUCUGUCCUAUAGGAAGAACGGCAUUAUGGUUAAUACCCAUAGUGUUUGACGGUACUAUAGAAGAAAGCACCGGGUAACUCCGUGCCAGCAGCCGCGGUAAUACGGAGGGUGCAAGCGUUGUUUGGAUUUAAUGGGCGUAAAGCGCGCGCAGGCGGAUUAACAAGUUAGAUGUGAAAUCCCAGGGGUUAACCCUGGAAAUGCGUCUGAAACUGGUAGUAUAGAGUCUCACAGGGGGUAGGGGAAUUUCACGUGUAGGGGUAAAAUCCGUAGAGAUGUGAAGGAACACCAGUGGCGAAGGCGCCUACCUGGAUGAGUACUGACGCUGAGGCGCGAAAGCGUGGGGAGCAAACAGGAUUAGAUACCCUGGUAGUCCACGCCGUA